AGGUAAGCUACUAAGAGCGAAUGGUGGAUGCCUUGACUGGUAAAGGCGAUGAAGGACGUACUAGACUGCGAUAAGCUACGGGGAGCUGUCAAGAAGCUUUGAUCCGUAGAUUUCCGAAUGGGGCAACCCAAUGUAUAGAGAUAUACAUUACCUAUAUAGGAGCGAACGAGGGGAAUUGAAACAUCUUAGUACCCUCAGGAAAAGAAAUCAAUAGAGAUUGCGUCAGUAGCGGCGAGCGAAAGCGCAAGAGGGCAAACCCAGUGCUUGCACUGGGGGUUGUAGGACUGCAAUAUGCAAGAGGUAAGUUUAGCAGAACAUUCUGGAAAGUAUAACCAUAGAGGGUGAUAGUCCCGUAUGCGAAAAACAAACCUUAGCUAGCAGUAUCCUGAGUAGGGCGGGACACGAGGAAUCCUGUCUGAAUCCGGGUCGACCACGAUCCAACCCUAAAUACUAAUACCAGAUCGAUAGUGCACAAGUACCGUGAGGGAAAGGUGAAAAGAACUGAGGUGAUCAGAGUGAAAUAGAACCUGAAACCAUUUGCUUACAAUCAUUCAGAGCCCUAUGUAGCAAUACAGGGUGAUGGACUGCCUUUUGCAUAAUGAGCCUGCGAGUUGUGGUGUCUGGCAAGGUUAAGCAAACGCGAAGCCGUAGCGAAAGCGAGUCUGAAUAGGGCGCUUAGUCAGAUGCUGCAGACCCGAAACGAAGUGAUCUAUCCAUGAGCAAGUUGAAGCUAGUGUAAGAACUAGUGGAGGACUGAACCCAUAGGCGUUGAAAAGCCCCGGGAUGACUUGUGGAUAGGGGUGAAAGGCCAAUCAAACUUCGUGAUAGCUGGUUCUCUCCGAAAUAUAUUUAGGUAUAGCGUUGUGUCGUAAUAUAAGGGGGUAGAGCACUGAAUGGGCUAGGGCAUACACCAAUGUACCAAACCCUAUCAAACUCCGAAUACCUUAUAUGUAAUCACAGCAGUCAGGCGGCGAGUGAUAAAAUCCGUCGUCAAGAGGGAAACAACCCAGACUACCAGCUAAGGUCCCUAAGUCUUACUUAAGUGGAAAACGAUGUGAAGUUACUUAAACAACCAGGAGGUUGGCUUAGAAGCAGCCAUCCUUUAAAGAAAGCGUAAUAGCUCACUGGUCUAGUGAUUUUGCGCGGAAAAUAUAACGGGGCUAAAGUAAGUACCGAAGCUGUAGACUUAGUUUACUAAGUGGUAGGAGAGCGUUCUAUUUGCGUCGAAGGUAUACCGGUAAGGAGUGCUGGAGCGAAUAGAAGUGAGCAUGCAGGCAUGAGUAGCGAUAAUUAAUGUGAGAAUCAUUAACGCCGUAAACCCAAGGUUUCCUACGCGAUGCUCGUCAUCGUAGGGUUAGUCGGGUCCUAAGUCGAGUCCGAAAGGGGUAGACGAUGGCAAAUUGGUUAAUAUUCCAAUACCAACAUUAGUGUGCGAUGGAAGGACGCUUAGGGCUAAGGGGCUAGCGGAUGGAAGUGCUAGUCUAAGGUCGUAGGAGGUUAUACAGGCAAAUCCGUAUAACAAUACUCCGAGAACUGAAAGGCUUUUUGAAGUCUUCGGAUGGAUAGAAGAACCCCUGAUGCCGUCGAGCCAAGAAAAGUUUCUAAGUUUAGCUAAUGUUGCCCGUACCGUAAACCGACACAGGUGGGUGGGAUGAGUAUUCUAAGGCGCGUGGAAGAACUCUCUUUAAGGAACUCUGCAAAAUAGCACCGUAUCUUCGGUAUAAGGUGUGGUUAGCUUUGUAUUAGGAUUUACUCCGAAAGCAAGGAAACUUACAACAAAGAGUCCCUCCCGACUGUUUACCAAAAACACAGCACUCUGCUAACUCGUAAGAGGAUGUAUAGGGUGUGACGCCUGCCCGGUGCUCGAAGGUUAAUUGAUGGGGUUAGCAUUAGCGAAGCUCUUGAUCGAAGCCCGAGUAAACGGCGGCCGUAACUAUAACGGUCCUAAGGUAGCGAAAUUCCUUGUCGGUUAAAUACCGACCUGCAUGAAUGGCGUAACGAGAUGGGAGCUGUCUCAAAGAGGGAUCCAGUGAAAUUGUAGUGGAGGUGAAAAUUCCUCCUACCCGCGGCAAGACGGAAAGACCCCGUGGACCUUUACUACAGCUUGACACUGCUACUUGGAUAAGAAUGUGCAGGAUAGGUGGGAGGCUUUGAGUAUAUGACGCCAGUUGUAUAUGAGCCAUUGUUGAGAUACCACUCUUUCUUAUUUGGGUAGCUAACCAGCUUGAGUUAUCCUCAAGUGGGACAAUGUCUGGUGGGUAGUUUGACUGGGGCGGUCGCCUCCCAAAUAAUAACGGAGGCUUACAAAGGUUGGCUCAGAACGGUUGGAAAUCGUUCGUAGAGUAUAAAGGUAUAAGCCAGCUUAACUGCAAGACAUACAAGUCAAGCAGAGACGAAAGUCGGUCUUAGUGAUCCGGUGGUUCUGUGUGGAAGGGCCAUCGCUCAAAGGAUAAAAGGUACCCCGGGGAUAACAGGCUGAUCUCCCCAAGAGCUCACAUCGACGGGGAGGUUUGGCACCUCGAUGUCGGCUCAUCGCAUCCUGGGGCUGGAGCAGGUCCCAAGGGUAUGGCUGUUCGCCAUUUAAAGCGGUACGCGAGCUGGGUUCAGAACGUCGUGAGACAGUUCGGUCCCUAUCUGCCGUGGGCGUAAGAAGAUUGAAGAGAUUUGACCCUAGUACGAGAGGACCGGGUUGAACAAACCACUGGUGUAGCUGUUGUUCUGCCAAGAGCAUCGCAGCGUAGCUAAGUUUGGAAAGGAUAAACGCUGAAAGCAUCUAAGCGUGAAGCCAACUCUAAGAUGAAUCUUCUCUAAGCUCUCUAGAAGACUACUAGUUUGAUAGGCUGGGUGUGUAAUGGAUGAAAGUCCUUUAGCUGACCAGUACUAAUAGAGCGUUUGGCUUAUCUUU
Molecule: ribosomal RNA, 2905 nt
Filed under: Campylobacter jejuni
Lineage: Bacteria; Pseudomonadati; Campylobacterota; Epsilonproteobacteria; Campylobacterales; Campylobacteraceae
Description: 23S ribosomal RNA
Rfam family: Bacterial large subunit ribosomal RNA
Source: RNAcentral